AGUGAACGCUGGCGGUAGGCCUAACACAUGCAAGUCGAACGGCAGCACAGAGGAGCUUGCUCCUUGGGUGGCGAGUGGCGGACGGGUGAGGAAUACAUCGGAAUCUACUCUGUCGUGGGGGAUAACGUAGGGAAACUUACGCUAAUACCGCAUACGACCUACGGGUGAAAGCAGGGGAUCUUCGGACCUUGCGCGAUUGAAUGAGCCGAUGUCGGAUUAGCUAGUUGGCGGGGUAAAGGCCCACCAAGGCGCCGAUCCGUAGCUGGUCUGAGAGGAUGAGCAGCCACACUGGAACUGAGACACGGUCCAGACACCUACGGGAGGAAGCAGUGGGGAAUAUGGGGCAAUGGGAGCAAGCCUGAUCCAGCCAUACCGCGUGGGGGAAGAAGGCCUUCGGGUUGUAAAGCCCUUUUGUUGGGAAAGAAAUCCAUGUGGUUAAUACCCGGGUGGGAUGACGGUACCCAAAGAAUAAGCACCGGCUAACUUCGUGCCAGCCGCCGCAGUAA
This 506-nucleotide ribosomal RNA is filed under the name uncultured bacterium. Its description in RNAcentral is "partial 16S ribosomal RNA". It matches the Rfam family "Bacterial small subunit ribosomal RNA", at positions 29 to 523 of the family's 1533-position model. The record is from RNAcentral.